Molecule: unclassified non-coding RNA, 520 nt
Filed under: uncultured Glomus
Lineage: Eukaryota; Fungi; Glomeromycota; Glomeromycetes; Glomerales; Glomeraceae
Description: SSU rRNA
Rfam family: Eukaryotic small subunit ribosomal RNA
Source: RNAcentral
AGCAGCCGCGGUAAUUCCAGCUCCAAUAGCGUAUAUUAAAGUUGUUGCAGUUAAAAAGCUCGUAGUUGAAUUUCGGGAUCAGUUGGUCGGUCGUGCCUCGGUACGUACUGGUCAAAUUGAUUCCUACCUUCUGACGAACCACGAUGUCAUUAAGUUUGGUGUCGUGGGGUAAUCAAGGACUGUUACUUUGUAAAAAAUUAGAGUGUUUAAAGCAGGCUCGCGCUUGAAUACAUUAGCAUGGAAAUAAUGAAAUAGGACGUUUGAUUCUAUUUUGUUGGUUUCUAGGAUCGACGUAAUGAUUAAUAGGGAUAGUUGGGGGCAUUAGUAUUCAAUUGUCAGAGGUGAAAUUCUUGGAUUAUUGAAGACUAACUACUGCGAAAGCAUUUGCCAAGGAUGUUUUCAUUAAUCAAGAACGAAAGUUAGGGGAUCGAAGACGAUCAGAUACCGUCGUAGUCUUAACCAUAAACUAUGCCGACUAGGGAUCGGAUGAUGUUAAUUUUUUAAUGACUCAUUCGGCGCC